CCAAUGGAUUGGCCUGCUGCUGCUUAUGUUCUUCUUGGCCGGGAGGAUUUGGCUUUCUCACGCUUAGCAUAUUCAAGAAAAUCUGUGGAGCUUGAGCCCCACAUUAAUGUAAAUAUGACAUGUAUGUCCACUCCUUACAUGUUGAACCUGCAUCUGGUGACAAUUCCUUCCUCAAUAUCUGACACAAUAGAGGCAGAUGACAACAUACAUGUUGAACCUGCAUCCGGUGACAAUUCCUUCCUCAAUAUCUGAGACAAUAGAGGCAGAUGACAACAAGCUAGAGGAUGUAGAUUCUGUUGAGGGAUCUGUGGCUGAUGGUAUGGAGCAUAUUUUCAACUCUGGCAUCCAGUUGCGUUAUGGUCGUGA
This 366-nucleotide long non-coding RNA is filed under the name Nicotiana benthamiana. RNAcentral's name for it is "long non-coding RNA (NBEN_LNC013544)". The record is from RNAcentral. Lineage: Eukaryota; Viridiplantae; Streptophyta; Magnoliopsida; Solanales; Solanaceae.